This 59-nucleotide ribosomal RNA is filed under the name Prosorhynchus robertsthomsoni. Its description in RNAcentral is "partial 28S ribosomal RNA". It matches the Rfam family "Eukaryotic large subunit ribosomal RNA", at positions 1 to 59 of the family's 3401-position model. The record is from RNAcentral. Lineage: Eukaryota; Metazoa; Platyhelminthes; Trematoda; Strigeidida; Bucephalidae.
UGACCUCGGAUCAGACGUGAUUACCCGCUGAACUUGAGCAUAUCACUAAGCGGAGGAAA